CCGUACUAUGCUACCUACUGCCACAUACGCCUCCUUAUCCAUUCGGUCUGCACCAGCCACUAUCUGGACAUCUUCAUCACUUUCAUCAUCUGCCUCAACGUGGUCACUAUGUCCUUGGAGCACUACAACCAACCUGUGUCCCUGGAGACCGCCCUCAAAUACUGCAACUACCUGUUCACCACUGUCUUCGUGUUUGAGGCAGUCCUCAAGCUGGUGGCAUUUGGUCUGCGACGAUUCUUCAAAGACAGGUGGAACCAGCUAGAUCUGGCCAUUGUGCUGCUGUCUGUCAUGGGCAUCACAUUGGAAGAGAUUGAAAUCAAC
RNAcentral lists this long non-coding RNA (321 nucleotides) under Geospiza fortis (medium ground-finch). RNAcentral describes it as "lncRNA (ENSGFOG00000005137.1)". Lineage: Eukaryota; Metazoa; Chordata; Aves; Passeriformes; Thraupidae. The record is from RNAcentral.